Molecule: transfer RNA, 66 nt
Filed under: Isoalcanivorax indicus
Lineage: Bacteria; Pseudomonadati; Pseudomonadota; Gammaproteobacteria; Oceanospirillales; Alcanivoracaceae
Also listed under: 3 other names
Rfam family: tRNA
About the family: Transfer RNA (tRNA) molecules are approximately 80 nucleotides in length.
Source: RNAcentral
CAUAUAGCUCAGUAGGUAGAGCACUUCCUUGGUAAGGAAGAGGUCACCGGUUCAAAUCCGGUUAUG